This 22-nucleotide microRNA is filed under the name Triops cancriformis. RNAcentral describes it as "tcf-miR-10299". Lineage: Eukaryota; Metazoa; Arthropoda; Branchiopoda; Notostraca; Triopsidae. The record is from miRBase by way of RNAcentral.
AUCGGCACUGGGUAACAAUGAA